This 426-nucleotide ribosomal RNA is filed under the name Vibrio cholerae. RNAcentral's name for it is "partial 23S ribosomal RNA". It matches the Rfam family "Bacterial large subunit ribosomal RNA", at positions 1943 to 2368 of the family's 2925-position model. The record is from RNAcentral. Lineage: Bacteria; Pseudomonadati; Pseudomonadota; Gammaproteobacteria; Vibrionales; Vibrionaceae.
UAACGGUCCUAAGGUAGCGAAAUUCCUUGUCGGGUAAGUUCCGACCUGCACGAAUGGCGUAAUGAUGGCCACGCUGUCUCCACCCGAGACUCAGUGAAAUUGAAAUCGCUGUGAAGAUGCAGUGUACCCGCGGCUAGACGGAAAGACCCCGUGAACCUUUACUACAGCUUGGCACUGAACAUUGAACCUACAUGUGUAGGAUAGGUGGGAGGCUAUGAAGACGUGACGCCAGUUGCGUUGGAGCCGUCCUUGAAAUACCACCCUUGUAUGUUUGAUGUUCUAACUUAGACCCAUUAUCUGGGUUGAGGACAGUGCCUGGUGGGUAGUUUGACUGGGGCGGUCUCCUCCCAAAGAGUAACGGAGGAGCACGAAGGUGGGCUAAUCACGGUUGGACAUCGUGAGGUUAGUGCAAUGGCAUAAGCCCGC